This 720-nucleotide ribosomal RNA is filed under the name Pichia occidentalis. Its description in RNAcentral is "LSU rRNA". It matches the Rfam family "Eukaryotic large subunit ribosomal RNA", at positions 1 to 702 of the family's 3401-position model. The record is from RNAcentral. Lineage: Eukaryota; Fungi; Ascomycota; Pichiomycetes; Pichiales; Pichiaceae.
CGAACUAUGAGUAGGACGCUUGGCCGCCGAACUUAAUACAUAAGCUCGACCUCAAAUCAGGUAGGAAUACCCGCUGAACUUAAGCAUAUCAAUAAGCGGAGGAAAAGAAACCAACAGGGAUUGCCUCAGUAGCGGCGAGUGAAGCGGCAAAAGCUCAGAUUUGAAAUCGUGUUUCGGCACGAGUUGUAGAUUGCAGGUUGGAGUCUUUGUGGAAGCGUGUGUCUAAGUCCCUUGGAACAGGGUGCCAUUGAGGGUGAGAGCCCCGUGAGACGCGUGCGGAAGCUGUAAGGCCCUUCUGACGAGUCGAGUUGUUUGGGAAUGCAGCUCUAAGUGGGUGGUAAAUUCCAUCUAAGGCUAAAUAUUGGCGAGAGACCGAUAGCGAACAAGUACUGUGAAGGAAAGAUGAAAAGCACUUUGAAAAGAGAGUGAAACAGCACGUGAAAUUGUUGAAAGGGAAGGGUAUUGGGCUCGACAUGGGAUUUGCGCACCGCUGCUCCUUGUGGGCGGCGCUCUGUGCUUUUCCUGGGCCAGCAUCGGUUUUUGCCGCAGGAGAAGGCGUGCUGGAAUGUGGCUCUUCGGAGUGUUAUAGCCAGUGCGAGAUGCUGCGUGCGGGGACCGAGGACUGCGACAUCUGUCUCGGAUGCUGGCACAACGGCGCAAUACCGCCCGUCUUGAAACAUGGACCAAGGAGUCUAACGUCUAUGCGAGUGUUUGGGUGUG